RNAcentral lists this transfer RNA (72 nucleotides) under Frullania nodulosa. RNAcentral describes it as "tRNA-Gln". It matches the Rfam family "tRNA". From Rfam's summary of the family: Transfer RNA (tRNA) molecules are approximately 80 nucleotides in length. The record is from RNAcentral. Lineage: Eukaryota; Viridiplantae; Streptophyta; Jungermanniopsida; Porellales; Frullaniaceae.
UGGGGCGUAGCUAAGCGGUAAGGCAGCGGGUUUUGAUCCCGUCAUUCGGAGGUUCGAAUCCUUCCGUCCCAG